This 467-nucleotide ribosomal RNA is filed under the name uncultured bacterium. RNAcentral's name for it is "partial 16S ribosomal RNA". It matches the Rfam family "Bacterial small subunit ribosomal RNA", at positions 28 to 506 of the family's 1533-position model. The record is from RNAcentral.
GACGAACGCUGGCGGCGUGCUUAACACAUGCAAGUCGAACGGAAAGGCCCUGCUUUUGUGGGGUGCUCGAGUGGCGAACGGGUGAGUAACACGUGAGUAACCUGCCCUUGACUUUGGGAUAACUUCAGGAAACUGGGGCUAAUACCGGAUAGGAGCUCCUGCUGCAUGGUGGGGGUUGGAAAGUUUCGGCGGUUGGGGAUGGACUCGCGGCUUAUCAGCUUGUUGGUGGGGUAGUGGCUUACCAAGGCUUUGACGGGUAGCCGGCCUGAGAGGGUGACCGGCCAAGUGGGGGCUGAGAUACGGCCCAGCCUCCUCGGGGGGGCAGAGGGGGGGAAUAUGGAACAAGGGGGGGAGGCCUGAUGAAGAAACGCCGGGGGGGGGAGGACGGCCUUCGGGUUGAAAACCGUUUUCGCCUGGGACGAAGGGUGAGUGACGGUAAGGGGUAAAGAAGCACCGGCUAACUACGU